GAAUAUUGGACAAUGGGCGAAAGCCUGAUCCAGCAACGCCGCGUGGAGGACGAAGGUCUUCGGAUCGUAAACUCCUGUCAGAUGGGACGAAAAGCGGGGGGUCAACAGCUCCUCGUUCUGACGGUACCAUCAGAGGAAGCCCCGGCUAACUCCGUUCCAGCAGCCGCGGUAAUACGGAGGGGGCAAGCGUUAUUCGGAAUUAUUGGGCGUAAAGGGCGCGUAGGCGGCUUGGUAAGUCAAAGGUGAAAUCCCUCGGCUCAACCGAGGAACUGCCUUUGAUACUGCCUCGCUCGAGGCCGGGAGGGGGUAGCGGAAUUCCCAGUGUAGCGGUGAAAUGCGUAGAUAUUGGGAGGAACACCGGUGGCGAAGGCGGCUACCUGGACCGGUUCUGACGCUGAGGCGCGAAAGCGUGGGGAGCAAACAGG
This 425-nucleotide ribosomal RNA is filed under the name uncultured bacterium. RNAcentral describes it as "bacterial SSU rRNA". It matches the Rfam family "Bacterial small subunit ribosomal RNA", at positions 359 to 776 of the family's 1533-position model. The record is from RNAcentral.